RNAcentral lists this ribosomal RNA (506 nucleotides) under uncultured bacterium. RNAcentral's name for it is "partial 16S ribosomal RNA". It matches the Rfam family "Bacterial small subunit ribosomal RNA", at positions 29 to 523 of the family's 1533-position model. The record is from RNAcentral.
AGUGAACGCUGGCGGUAGGCCUAACACAUACAAGUCGAACGGCAGCACAGAGGAGCUUGCUCCUUGGGUGGCGAGUGGCGGACGGGUGAGGAAUACAUCGGAAUCUACUCUGUCGUGGGGGAUAACGUAGGGAAACUUACGCUAAUACCGCAUACGACCUACGGGUGAAAGCAGGGGACCUUCGGGCCUUGCGCGAUUGAAUGAGCCGGUGUCGGAUUAGCUAGUUGGCGGGGUAAAGGCCCACCAAGGCGACGAUCCGUAGCUGGUCUGAGAGGAUGAUAAGCCACACAGGAACUGAGACGCGGUCCAGACUCCUACGGGAGGCAGCAAUGGGGAAUAUUGGACAAUGGGCGCAAGCCUGAUCCAGCCAUACCGCGUGGGUGAAGAAGGCCUUCGGGUUGUAAAGCCCUUUUGUUGGGAAAGAAAUCCAGCUGGCUAAUACCCGGUUGGGAUGACGGUACCCAAAGAAUAAGCACCGGCUAACUUUGUGCCAGCCGCCGCGGUAA